ACCGUUUACCUAUGAUUCAUACUUUACUCACACAUAUUAGGCACAAUUGUUUUUUUGAAUUAUUUAAUUUACAGAUACUGCAUGUGUACGAUAUAUAUCAAUGAAUAAGCAAAUAUUUUGCCUUUGGGUUUUUUCGAUGUACAUAACGUAAUGUUUGAAAGUAAUCUUCUUGAUUAUAGGAACUCACUCAAUUACGUAUCAACUUAUCACCGCUCCUUCGUAUUAUCGCGAGUUUUAAAUUUAAAAAUGACGUGUUACGGAAAAAUUACUUAUCAAAUUGCUUUAUUUAUUACGUUAAUUUAAUUAUAUUGAUUGCACGCUUCUUAUUACUGUACAACGCAGUUAAUAUUCAGAAAUUAAAUGCUCUCAAUAACACUGAUUCUAUGAAUAGCUUAAGGAAAAUAAAUUUGUUUGUUCCUUUUAACGGGUAUUUCAUGUGAAAAAUUAAAGUUAAAAUGAGGAUAUUCUGACUAUAAAUGCUGUCCUUGUUUAGGUAGCCUUUUUUUUCAAACUAGCGUCAUAAAAUACAGACAUGUUUAUUUUUGUACAGGGAUAAAAGAUUAAAUUUCAAAGGUUACGUUUGUUUUAAAAGCAAACAAGUACAGAUGUUAUCUGUAUUCCUAAAUUGUCAAAUGUCAACGAGUAACAUUAACGAGCGGCCUAGUCCAUAGAUAAUACACCUUUAAGGCCUAGUCGACCCUGACCACGAAAACUGAGAUUUGAAAAAAAAAUGGCUUCCUUUUUAUUAUAAUUUUUUCUUACCCAAGCAGGUUUGACCGCGCAGAGUCCGCUCUCCACGUUGCUACUCUAACAUUACCGAAACAAAUAUGAAGAAAACAAAACGGGUGAGAAUCUGAGAACAGCAUUGCUCCCUGUCUAGGUGGAGCAGUAACCUAUAUCGUUAGGAACAAAACGAAGACAAGGAUCAAAAUUUACAGACGAUGAGAUCAUGAGAAUUAGGAAUUCCCAUUAGUUACGUUUCAUGGGAGGCGUCUUCAAGGCUAAGCCGAAGUCGAGAAACUUAAAUCUUCACAAUUGUUACAGUUAAUAAUAAAUGUAGUUUAAAAAUUAAAAACAAACCUCCUUUU
Bombyx mori (domestic silkworm) is the source of this 1088-nucleotide long non-coding RNA. RefSeq lists it as uncharacterized. The transcript is spliced from 2 exons. The record is from RefSeq and is a predicted model, not a curated record. NCBI's taxonomy places the organism in Eukaryota, Metazoa, Arthropoda, Insecta, Lepidoptera, Bombycidae.